This 433-nucleotide ribosomal RNA is filed under the name uncultured bacterium. Its description in RNAcentral is "partial 16S ribosomal RNA". It matches the Rfam family "Bacterial small subunit ribosomal RNA", at positions 29 to 507 of the family's 1533-position model. The record is from RNAcentral.
AACGAACGCUGGCGGCAUGCCUAACACAUGCAAGUCGAACGAGACCUUCGGGUCUGGUGGCGCACGGGUGCGUAACGCGUGGGAACCUGCCCUUAGGUUCGGAAUAACUCCCCGAAAGGGGUGCUAAUACCGGAUAAUGUCUUCGGACCAAAGAUUUAUCGCCUUUGGAUGGGCCCGCGUUGGAUUAGCUAGUUGGUAGGGUAAAAGCCUACCAAGGCGACGAUCCAUAGCUGGUCUGAGAGGAUGAUCAGCCACUCUGGGACUGAGACACGGCCCAGACUCCUACGGGAGGCAGCAGUGGGGAAUAUUGGACAAUGGGCGAAAGCCUGAUCCAGCAAUGCCGCGUGAGUGAUGAAGGCCUUAGGGUUGUAAAGCUCUUUUACCCGGGAUGAUAAUGACAGUACCGGGAGAAUAAGCUCCGGCUAACUCCGUG